AUGUCACCUGCUAAAUCUUGCAUCAUCCUUCUGAAAAAAUGUGCUCAAACUAUCGGUUAUCUACCACCAAUGGUUUCGUCUGCUUGUCGGAGAUGGUCGAGCAUCUCUCUUUUGGUAUGAUCAGUGGAUUGGUGAUUAUGCGCUCAGUUUCUUACUCCCUAAUCUUUUCAUCUUUGCCACGAAGCAAUCCUGUUCCGUUCACGAAUUCUUUCAGUAGGCAAACUUUCGAUCCUCUUUCAGAUAUCCGAUGAGCU
Molecule: long non-coding RNA, 254 nt
Filed under: Elaeis guineensis (African oil palm)
Lineage: Eukaryota; Viridiplantae; Streptophyta; Magnoliopsida; Arecales; Arecaceae
Description: long non-coding RNA (EGUI_LNC008580)
Source: RNAcentral